GACGAACGCUGGCGGCGUGCUUAACACAUGCAAGUCGAACGGAAAGGCCCUGCUUUUGUGGGGUGCUCGAGUGGCGAACGGGUGGGUAACACGUGAGUAACCUGCCCUUGACUUUGGGAUAACUUCAGGAAACUGGGGCUAAUACCGGAUAGGAGCUCCUGCUGCAUGGUGGGGGUUGGAAAGUUUCGGCGGUUGGGGAUGGACUCGCGGCUUAUCAGCUUGUUGGUGGGGUAGUGGCUUACCAAGGCUUUGACGGGUAGCCGGCCUGAGAGGGUGACCGGCCACAUUGGGACUGAGAUGCGGCCCAGCCUCCUACGGGAGGCAGCAGUGGGGAAUAUUGCACAAUGGGCGGAAGCCUGAUGCAGCAACGCCGCGUGCGGGAUGACGGCCUUCGGGUUGUAAACCGCUUUCGCCUGUGACGAAGCGUGAGUGACGGUAAUGGGUAAAGAAGCACCGGCUAACUACGUG
RNAcentral lists this ribosomal RNA (468 nucleotides) under uncultured bacterium. RNAcentral's name for it is "partial 16S ribosomal RNA". It matches the Rfam family "Bacterial small subunit ribosomal RNA", at positions 28 to 507 of the family's 1533-position model. The record is from RNAcentral.